GUAAUGGCAAGGUUUGUCUUACAUGUUCUGAUUAUUGUAAUAUUUUACUUUGAAAGUAUCCUAGCGAGAAAUGACGAAAAACGUAUUCCUCUUACGGAUCUUGAUUAUGCGGAUAACCUACAAUUACAUACUGCUAUCCAGGUAUUGAAAUCAACUAUACAGGAAAUAAAGCAGACUGUAGUUUCUCAGUCAACUUUGAUACAGAAACAGACGGUUGAUAUUACAAACUUACAGACUAAGUUACAACAAGGGGAACAGGCUUAAUUGGAGUUGGAAUCCAAACUUCAACAGAUCAUGUCAAGUACGUAAGCAUUUUUUUUUAUAUAAAUACCUCUUAUACUUUCUUAAUAGAUGAAAAUCAUUAUCUUACGGUUUUUGUUUGUUUUUCUUUCACAUAACUUUUUCACACUUUUAAUUUUUCAUGAUUUUGACAAAUUCAACAUUUUAUUUUACACAAUGAGUGAGUAAUUUACACAACAAAAACCGGACUUUUUUUUGUUUAAGUUUUUGCGAGCGACGUGUUUACUUGUGUCUUGUUUGCAUUAUUACGUUAUUGUUAUGUGAUAACAAAAAUGGGCUUUUCAUGUACUGAUUUAUUUGGUUUGCAAUGUUAAUAAUUUAUAGUUAUUGGGGUAACUCUGUUGAUUGAAUUGGUUACUGUAUAAUCGUUUCUUUUUUAAAACCAACUUCAUUUCAAACAAAAAGAUAUAGGAAGAUGUGGUAAGAGUUCCAAUUAGACAACUCUCUUUCUAAGUCAAAAUGUAUAAAAGUAAACCAUCAUAGGUCAACGUAUGGUCUUCAACACGGAGUCUAGGCUCAAACCGACAAGCUAUAAAGGGCCCCCACAAUUCUGUACUAGUACAAAUGCGUUUUUCAAAAAAUCAAUCGAAUUCCGCUUAACAUAGAAUAAUUUUGUUUAUUUAUUUGUGUUGAAAUUAAUUAUACUAUAUCCAACUCAUUGUGGUUAACAAUAUAGGGAUAUUUGAAACCAUACGUAACGAUACAAAUUUAUAUUGACAAAUAUGUCCUUAAAUAAGGCCAAUGUAAAAUGAACCCUGCUAGAUAGAUAUGAACAACUUACAGGCAUGUCAUACACAUGUAGCCACACUAGCUUCAACAAAGGUAUUUCAAAUAUUUUAAGGAUUGAUAAAAGAUUUUUUGUUAGCUCCGACGGGAUCUGUUUAUAUACAAUGGGGAAGGAAAUCAAGUACUAGAAAUGGAACGGAACUUGUUUAUUCAGGUUU
Molecule: long non-coding RNA, 1244 nt
Filed under: Mytilus galloprovincialis (Mediterranean mussel)
Lineage: Eukaryota; Metazoa; Mollusca; Bivalvia; Mytilida; Mytilidae
Source: RNAcentral